RNAcentral lists this ribosomal RNA (501 nucleotides) under uncultured bacterium. RNAcentral's name for it is "partial 16S ribosomal RNA". It matches the Rfam family "Bacterial small subunit ribosomal RNA", at positions 30 to 523 of the family's 1533-position model. The record is from RNAcentral.
AUUGAACGCUGGCGGCAGGCUUAACACAUGCAAGUCGAGCGGGGGAAGGUAGCUUGCUACCGGACCUAGCGGCGGACGGGUGAGUAAUGCUUAGGAAUCUGCCUAUUAGUGGGGGACAACAUCUCGAAAGGGAUGCUAAUACCGCAUACGUCCUACGGGAGAAAGCAGGGGAUCUUCGGACCUUGCGCGAAUAGAUGAGCCUAAGUCGGAUUAGCUAGUUGGUGGGGUAAAGGCCUACCAAGGCGACGAUCUGUAGCGGGUCUGAGAGGAUGAUCCGCCACACUGGGACUGAGACACGGCCCAGACUCCUACGGGAGGCAGCAGUGGGGAAUAUUGGACAAUGGGGGGAACCCUGAUCCAGCCAUGCCGCGUGUGUGAAGAAGGCCUUAUGGUUGUAAAGCACUAUAAGCGAGGAGGAGGCUACUUUAGUUAAUACCUAGAGAUAGUGGACGUUACUCGCAGAAUAAGCACCGGCUAACUCUGUGCCAGCCGCCGCAGUAA